UAUCUCUGUAGAGUCUGCAUAUCAAUAAGCGGAGGAAAAGAAACUAACAAGGAUUCCCUUAGUAACGGCGAGUGAAGCGGGAAGAGCUCAAAUUUGAAAUCUUCAAGGUUCUACCUUGACGAAUUGUAGUUUAAAGAAGUGUUUUCUGUUGAAGUUAGGUACAAAGUUCCUUGGAAUAGGACAUCAUAGAGGGUGAGAAUCCCGUAUUUGACGUUAUUCAUUCUAGCUGUGUGAUACACUUUCUAAGAGUCGGAUUGUUUGGGAAUGCAGUCCAAAAUGGGUGGUAAAUUUCAUCUAAAGCUAAAUAUUGGCGAGAGACCGAUAGCGAACAAGUACCGUGAGGGAAAGGAUGAAAAGAACUUUGAAAAGAGAGUUAAACAGUACGUGAAAUUGUCAAAAGGGAAGCGUUUGACACCAGUGUUGUUUUUCCAAAAAUCAAUUACGAAUGGCUUGAUUUUGUGUUGUAUUGACCUUAUCAGCUUUCUUCACUUUUUUCGAGUCUUUCUUAAUGCACUUUUUGGUUAACAAGUCAACAUCAAUUUCUUUUGUUGUAAAAGAGUAUUCGGAAGGUGGCUUUCUUUUCGGAGAAAGUGUUUAUAGCCCUAUACUUCUACAAUCGGAGAGAUUGAGGUCUGCAGCGUAGAUCCUUCGGGGUUAGAUACACUUGUGCUAAGUUGUAGCUUUUCAUAGACAACUUGUUGACUAUGUUUAGUCAUGCGGCUUACUCGCUUGUGUUAUUUUACCUACGCUUAGGAUGUUGACUGAUAUGUAGUCGUA
Molecule: ribosomal RNA, 777 nt
Filed under: uncultured Neocallimastigales
Lineage: Eukaryota; Fungi; Neocallimastigomycota; Neocallimastigomycetes; Neocallimastigales
Description: partial large subunit ribosomal RNA
Rfam family: Eukaryotic large subunit ribosomal RNA
Source: RNAcentral